GAUGAAGAACGCAGCGAAAUGCGAUAAGUAAUGUGAAUUGCAGAAUUCAGUGAAUCAUCGAAUCUUUGAACGCAUCUUGCGCUCCUUGGUAUUCCGAGGAGCAUGCCUGUUUGAGUGUCAUUAAAUUCUCAACCUUACUAGCUUUUGCGAAGUAAGGCUUGGAUGUGGGGGUUACUUUUGCUGGCUUCUAACGAGGUCGGCUCCCCUGAAAUGCAUUAGCGGUGCCCUUGUGGACCCCGACUAUCAGUGUGGUAAUUAUCUACGCUGUUAGGCGCCCACGCUUUAGUGCUGCUUCUAACCGUCCGGUUUCUGGACAACACAAAUGACAUUUCUGACCUCAAAUCAGGUAGGACUACCCGCUGAACUUAAGCAUAUCAAUAAGCGGAGGA
Molecule: unclassified non-coding RNA, 389 nt
Filed under: soil metagenome
Description: partial contains 5.8S ribosomal RNA, internal transcribed spacer 2, and large subunit ribosomal RNA
Rfam family: 5.8S ribosomal RNA (bases 1-120)
Source: RNAcentral